This 254-nucleotide ribosomal RNA is filed under the name uncultured bacterium. RNAcentral's name for it is "partial 16S ribosomal RNA". It matches the Rfam family "Bacterial small subunit ribosomal RNA", at positions 524 to 776 of the family's 1533-position model. The record is from RNAcentral.
UACGUAGGGUGCGAGCGUUGUCCGGAAUUAUUGGGCGUAAAGAGCUCGUAGGCGGUCUGUCGCGUCGGUCGUGAAAACUUGGGGCUUAACCCUGAGCUUGCGGUCGAUACGGGCAUGACUGGAGUCCGGCAGGGGAGACUGGAAUUCCUGGUGUAGCGGUGAAAUGCGCAGAUAUCAGGAGGAACACCGGUGGCGAAGGCGGGUCUCUGGGCCGAUACUGACGCUGAGGAGCGAAAGCGUGGGGAGCGAACAGG